RNAcentral lists this ribosomal RNA (425 nucleotides) under uncultured bacterium. Its description in RNAcentral is "bacterial SSU rRNA". It matches the Rfam family "Bacterial small subunit ribosomal RNA", at positions 355 to 772 of the family's 1533-position model. The record is from RNAcentral.
UGGGGAAUUGUUCGCAAUGGGCGCAAGCCUGACGACGCAACGCCGCGUGGAGGAUGAAGGUCUUCGGAUCGUAAACUCCUGUCAGAUGGGACGAAGGGUCCAGGGUAAAUAAUCCUGGAUCUUGACGGUACUAUCAGAGGAAGCCCCGGCUAACUCCGUGCCAGCAGCCGCGGUAAUACGUAGGUGGCAAGCGUUGUCCGGAUUUAUUGGGUUUAAAGGGUGCGUAGGCGGCUUUGUAAGUCAGUGGUGAAAUAUGGCAGCUCAACUGUCAAGGUGCCAUUGAUACUGCAGAGCUUGAGUACAGAUGAGGUAGGCGGAAUUGACGGUGUAGCGGUGAAAUGCUUAGAUAUCGUCAAGAACACCUAUAGCGAAGGCAGCUUACUAGGCUGUAACUGACGCUGAGGCACGAAAGUGUGGGGAUCAAA